Non-coding RNA from Gasterosteus aculeatus aculeatus (three-spined stickleback), 376 nucleotides. The record is from RefSeq and is a predicted model, not a curated record. NCBI's taxonomy places the organism in Eukaryota, Metazoa, Chordata, Actinopteri, Perciformes, Gasterosteidae.
UAUAAAACUUAGGAUUUCAAGUAACGUUUACUUAAAAGGAUGAGUAUCGAAGAACUUUCCCCAAAACCCGGAGAUACUCUGCUCUAAUACGCAUGCGCACUUGACCACCGAAGACGUGAUUUCCUUUGAGGCGGCUGCUGGAAGCAGGAAGAAAGCGCUGCUCGGUCCAGAAGCUUUGCAGAACACAUGUAAAUUGAAGUGUUGGCCGGAAUAUCUGCAACAAGUCACUCCGGCAAGUACAGAUGUUACUGGGAUGCGAACAGCAGUCCUCCGUAGCCUUCCUGUCAUCCUUGGAGAUGAGAACACAGACUUCUUCAAGACAUGCUUUUUGUCAUUUCAGCACGCUCCAAAAGUGAUCCGCCACCACCCCUGACAC